This 21-nucleotide non-coding RNA is filed under the name Arabidopsis thaliana (thale cress). The record is from RNAcentral. Lineage: Eukaryota; Viridiplantae; Streptophyta; Magnoliopsida; Brassicales; Brassicaceae.
AUCAAGGCAGGUUUGCCCGAG